RNAcentral lists this ribosomal RNA (492 nucleotides) under uncultured bacterium. Its description in RNAcentral is "partial 16S ribosomal RNA". It matches the Rfam family "Bacterial small subunit ribosomal RNA", at positions 29 to 507 of the family's 1533-position model. The record is from RNAcentral.
AGUGAACGCUGGCGGUAGGCCUAACACAUGCAAGUCGAACGGCAGCACAGUAAGAGCUUGCUCUUACGGGUGGCGAGUGGCGGACGGGUGAGGAAUACAUCGGAAUCUACUUUUUCGUGGGGGAUAACGUAGGGAAACUUACGCUAAUACCGCAUACGACCUACGGGUGAAAGCAGGGGAUCUUCGGACCUUGCGCGAUUGAAUGAGCCGAUGUCGGAUUAGCUAGUUGGCGGGGUAAAGGCCCACCAAGGCGACGAUCCGUAGCUGGUCUGAGAGGAUGAUCAGCCACACUGGAACUGAGACACGGUCCAGACGCCUACGGGAGGCAGCAGUGGGGAAUAUUGGACAAUGGGCGCAAGCCUUAUCCAGCCAUACCGCGUGGGUGAAGAAGGCCUUCGGGUUGUAAAGCCCUUUUGUUGGGAAAGAAAAGCAGCAGGUUAAUACCCCGCUGUUCUGACGGUACCCAAAGAAUAAGCACCGGCUAACUUCGUG